GCCCAGCGCUGAAUCGCUCAGUCUUUAUGGCUGCUGUGACAUGUAGCGUAUAGGUGUUGGUGUCUGAAACUAUUGUUUGUCCGAAGUCCUUGCGAUUAAGGCCACAGACCAGAGAGGGUGCGAGUCCUGUUCUGGAUAGCGAUAGUUUCGGUUUGCUAGCUCCUUGGAGUCGGGUUGCUUGAAAGUGCAGCCUAAAGUGGGUGAUAAACUUCAUCUAAGGCUAAAUAUUGACUCGAUUGCGAUAGCGAACAAGUACCGUGAGGGAAAGUUGCAAAGAACUUUGAAGAGAGAGUUCAAGAGAACGUGAAAUCGUUGGUGUGUAAGAAGAGACAGUUAAUGUUGCUUGGUGGCAAACAUUUCGAUGUGACGCUUCGCUGUGUCGCUUCGUGAUGUGUCGCUGCUAAAGCUACGCUGACGGUGUUGGCUGUUCGUUCUGAACCGUAAAGUGUUGCCCAUUUGCUUUAUUGUUAAAUGGUGUCUGGCUUGCGGCAUAGGUUUGUGACGGCUAACAUUUUGCUGUAACUGUGUGUUUGGCGUCGGUGUGAAAGUUAACCAAGUCUCUUGCCCGUCUUGAAACACGGAUGCCGGAGUGUUUUUCUAGUGCAAGUCAAAAAGUGGUAAAACUUUUCGGCGUAGCGAAAGCAAAGGUAGGCCUCGAGUCUGCUGAUGUGGGAUCUUUGCCUUUUCAGGGCUUAGCGCACCACGGCCCUAUGCGUGUUGCUUGCAACUGUGUAGAGGUAGAGCACUAGGGAAACGACCCGAAAGAUGGUGAACUAUGCGUGAGCAGGACGAAGCCAGAGGAAACUCUGGUGGAAGUCCGUAUCGGUUCUGACGUGCAAAUCGAUCGAUAGACUUGUGUAUAGGGGCGAAAGACUAAUCGAACCAUCUAGUAGCUGGUUCCUCUCGAAGUUUCCCUCAGGAUAGCUGGACUUUAAUCAGUUAUAUUCGGUAAAGCUAAUGAUUAGAGGCAUUGGGGGUGUAAUGCCCUCAACCUAUUCUCAAACUUUCAAUGGAUAUGUAGUCUCAGUUUCUUCAUUGAACUGGCGACAUCAAUGUGUAAGGUCCAAGUGGGCCAUUUUUGGUAAGCAGAACUGGCGAUGUGGGAUGAACCAAACGUGGAGUUAAGGUGCCUAACUUCUCGCUCAUGAGACCCCAUAAAAGGUGUUGGUUGAUCUUGACAGCAGGACGGUGGCCAUGGAAGUCGGUACCCGCUAAGGAGUGUGUAACAACUCACCUGCCGAAUCAACUAGCCCUGAAAAUGGAUGGCGCUUAAGCGAGAGACCUAUACUCCACCGUUGCGACAUGUGCGUUGUCUAGCGCCAGGUCGCAACGAGUAGGGAGGUCGUGGCGGUUGCGUUGAAGGCUAUGAGCGUAGGCUCGGCUGGAGCGGCCGUCAGUGCAGAUCGGUAUGGUAGUAGCAAAUAUUCAAGUUCGAUCCUUGAAGACUGAAGUGGAGAAGGGUUCCACGUGAACAGUAGUUGGAUGUGGGUCAGUCGAUCCUAAGGUACUGGCUAACGCCUUGUAUCAUCGGUGGCGAAAGCUUGCUUUCUGUCACGAUUGUCGAAAGGGAAUAGGGUUAAUAUUCCCUGACUGAGAUGCAAAGAUUAUCAUCCUUGGGUGAUAAGCGCGGUAACGCAUUCGAACUUGGUUUGUCGCUCAAAGACCGAGCUAGAGUUUUCUUCUCUAGUUAAGGAACGGACUCCCUGGAAUUGGUUCAGCCAGAGAUAGGGACGUUGUUUCCGAAAAGCACCGCGGUUUCUGUGGUGUCUCGUGCUCUUUGAACGGCCCUUUAAACACCAAGGGAGGCUAUUAAUUUGCACUCAAUCGUACCGAUAUCCGCAUUAGGUCUCCAAGGUGAACAGCCUCUAGUCGAUAGAAUAAUGUAGGUAAGGGAAGUCGGCAAAUUUGAUCCGUAACUUCGGGAAAAGGAUUGGCUCCAGUGGUCGGAUCGAUCGGCCAGUUGGUUGAUGCUUGUUUCGGCGCUAUUCAGUCUGCCUGAAGCCUUUCGCGAGGUUGACGGCGGACAAGUGAUAGCGCUGACUUGUGGACGCUUACUGGUGUGUGCUUCGAUUUCGGUCGUAGUAUCCUGAUCGGUCAUUUAAACGACCGUACUGGAACCGGUACGGACUCAGGGAAUCCGACUGUCUAAUUAAAACAGAGGUGACAGAUGGUCCUUGCGGACGUUGACUGUCACUGAUUUCUGCCCAGUGCUCUGAAUGUUAAAUCGUAGUGAUUCGAGUAAGCGCGGGUAAACGGCGGGAGUAACUAUGACUCUCUUAAGGUAGCCAAAUGCCUCGUCAUUUAACUGGUGACGCGCAUGAAUGGAUUAACGAGAUUCCUACUGUCCCUAACUACUAUCUAGCGAAACCACAGCCAAGGGAACGGGCUUGGAAAAAAUAGCGGGGAAAGAAGACCCUGUUGAGCUUGACUCUAGUUUGACAUUGUGAAGAGUCAUGAGAGGUGUAGCAUAGGUGGGAGACUUCGGUCGCCGGUGAAAUACCACCACUUUCAUCGACUCUUUACUUAUUCGGUUAAAAGAGAAUUAGCCUCGCGGCUUUUUUUCGAAGCGUUAAACAGUGCCAUAUUAUAUGGUGCUGUGACUCUCCUCGAAGACAGUGUCUAGCGGGGAGUUUGACUGGGGCGGUACAUCUAUCAAAUCGUAACGUAGGUGUCCUAAGGCGAGCUCAGAGAGGACGGAAACCUCUCGUAGAGCAAAAGGGCAAAAGCUUGCUUGAUCUUGACUUUCAGUACGAGUACAGACCGCGAAAGCGUGGCCUAUCGAUCCUUUUAAUCCAGAUUGUUUCUGGUAAGAGGUGUCAGAAAAGUUACCACAGGGAUAACUGGCUUGUGGCAGCCAAGCGUCCAUAGCGACGUUGCUUUUUGAUCCUUCGAUGUCGGCUCUUCCUAUCAUUGCGAAGCAGAAUUCGCCAAGCGUUGGAUUGUUCACCCACUAAUAGGGAACGUGAGCUGGGUUUAGACCGUCGUGAGACAGGUUAGUUUUACCCUACUGUUGACUUGUUAUUGCGAAAGUAAUCCUGCUCAGUACGAGAGGAACAGCGGGUUCAAACAUUUGGUUCAUGGACUUGGUCGACAGGCCAAUGGUCCGAAGCUACCAUUUGAGAGAUUAUAACUGAACGCCUCUAAGUUAGAAUCUCGCCUUGUCAAGGCGAAAAUUCUUUGCCCUCCGGUGUCGGUAGGCAUCUUUAUCUCGUUGCAAAACGAGAGCUUAUGCCCUAAAUAUGGCCUUGGCUUCGUAGUGAUAUGUCUGCGAAGCCUGCCAACGCCAGAUCACUCUGGUUCAAUGUCGGGGCGCAAAAUCACUUGCAUACGACUUGGUCUCUUGGUCAAGGUGUUGUAUUCAGUAGAGCAGUCAUUUUAUACUGCGAUCUGUUGAGACUAU
Molecule: ribosomal RNA, 3400 nt
Filed under: Caenorhabditis drosophilae
Lineage: Eukaryota; Metazoa; Nematoda; Chromadorea; Rhabditida; Rhabditidae
Description: eukaryotic LSU rRNA
Rfam family: Eukaryotic large subunit ribosomal RNA
Source: RNAcentral